UCAGUUUUAACACAUGAGAUAUGAGACAUUUGUGUGUUGUUCCUUUGGCAACAUACAGGCGAAUCUACAAGAAAGGUGAUAUUGUGGACAUCAAGGGAAUGGGCACUGUU
Long non-coding RNA from Herpailurus yagouaroundi (jaguarundi), 110 nucleotides. RefSeq lists it as uncharacterized. The transcript is spliced from 2 exons. The record is from RefSeq and is a predicted model, not a curated record. Lineage: Eukaryota; Metazoa; Chordata; Mammalia; Carnivora; Felidae.